RNAcentral lists this ribosomal RNA (251 nucleotides) under uncultured bacterium. Its description in RNAcentral is "partial 16S ribosomal RNA". It matches the Rfam family "Bacterial small subunit ribosomal RNA", at positions 524 to 776 of the family's 1533-position model. The record is from RNAcentral.
GACAUAGGUGGCAAACGUUAUCCGGAAUUAUUGGGCGUAAAGGGUGCGUAGAUGGCAGGAUAAGUUAUUGGUCGAUAUCAAACUCAAUUUGGUGGAAGCUGGUAAUACUGUUCUGCUAGAGGACAGGAGAGGUUGAUGGAACUCUAUGUGUAGGGGUGAAAUCCGUAGAUAUUCGGAAGAACACCAGUGGCGAAGGCGACUCGCUGGACAAGUAUUGACGCUGAGGUGCGAAAGCGUGGGGAGCGAACAGG